AUGUGGGAUGCAGUCAUAGAGGUUUUGGGCAUUGUUGAGGAUGAUGUGUGUGUUCCAUGUAGGGCUGGAGGUUUGGUUCAUCAAAUGGAGACUUUUAGCUUUGUGUUCAUCCUGAAGAUGAUGCUAAAAAUCCUUCGCAUGACAAAUGAUUUGUCUCUUCUAUUGCAAAAGAAGGAUCAAAAUGUUGUUCAGGCAAUGUUAACGGUUACGGAUGUGAGAACACGUUUGAUCAACUGGAGAAAUAAUGGUUGGGAGCCACUCUUGGAAGAUGUCAAAGCCUUUUGCACCAAAAAUGACAUUCCCAUACCAAAUAUGGAUGACAUCUUUACAAAGUGGGGGAAAUCAAGAAAAGGUGGACGAAACAAUGUCAUGGCUGACCAUUUUUCCCGUGUGGACACCUUCUAUGCUGCCAUAGACUCCAUCACCAUAGAGUUUGAUCAUCGUUUUAAUAAGCUAUCUUCAGAGCUGCUCCAGAACUUCUCUUGUCUUGACCCUAGAAACUCCUUUUCUAGGUUCAAUGUGAAUAAGCUUGCUAGACUCAUAGAGAUUUAUCAUGAGGAUUUCUCAGAUUAUGAAUGUGAACAUAUAGUUGAUAACCUAGAGCUAUUCAUUAUCCAUAUGAGAAGAAUUGAAGACUUUAGAGCUUGUCAUGAUAUUGCAAGUCUAGAAAAAAAGAAGGUUGAACUUGAAAGGCAUGUCAUGUUUCCUGCUGUUUAUCGCCUCAUUGAGUUGGCAUUGCUACUACCGGUAGCGACGGCAACAGUUGAAAGAGCCUUCUCAUCAAUGAAAAUCAUCAAGACUGGGGUUGCACAGCAAGAUGUGUGA
RNAcentral lists this ribosomal RNA (825 nucleotides) under Triticum aestivum (bread wheat). RNAcentral's name for it is "partial small subunit ribosomal RNA". The record is from RNAcentral. Lineage: Eukaryota; Viridiplantae; Streptophyta; Magnoliopsida; Poales; Poaceae.